UGCCAGCAACGGCGGUAAUACGUAGGGCGCAAGCGUUGUCCGGAAUUAUUGGGCGUAAAGAGCUCGUAGGCGGCUUGUCACGUCGGGUGUGAAAGCCCGGGGCUUAACCCCGGGUCUGCAUUCGAUACGGGCUAGCUAGAGUGUGGUAGGGGAGAUCGGAAUUCCUGGUGUAGCGGUGAAAUGCGCAGAUAUCAGGAGGAACACCGGUGGCGAAGGCGGAUCUCUGGGCCAUUACUGACGCUGAGGAGCGAAAGCGUGGGGAGCGAACAGGAUUAGAUACCCUGGUAGUCCACGCCGUAAACGGUGGGAACUAGGUGUUGGCGACAUUCCACGUCGUCGGUGCCGCAGCUAACGCAUUAAGUUCCCCGCCUGGGGAGUACGGCCGCAAGGCUAAAACUCAAAGGAAUUGACGGGGGCCCGCACAAGCAGCGGAGCAUGUGGCUUAAUUCGACGCAACGCGAAGAACCUUACCAAGGCUUGACAUCGCCCGGAAAGCAUCAGAGAUGGUGCCCCCCUUGUGGCCGGGUGACAGGUGGUGCAUGGCUGUCGUCAGCUC
RNAcentral lists this ribosomal RNA (556 nucleotides) under Streptomyces sp. Its description in RNAcentral is "bacterial SSU rRNA". It matches the Rfam family "Bacterial small subunit ribosomal RNA", at positions 506 to 1061 of the family's 1533-position model. The record is from RNAcentral. Lineage: Bacteria; Bacillati; Actinomycetota; Actinomycetes; Kitasatosporales; Streptomycetaceae.